This 334-nucleotide ribosomal RNA is filed under the name uncultured bacterium. Its description in RNAcentral is "bacterial SSU rRNA". It matches the Rfam family "Bacterial small subunit ribosomal RNA", at positions 1031 to 1382 of the family's 1533-position model. The record is from RNAcentral.
UGCACAGGUGCUGCAUGGCUGUCGUCAGCUCGUGUCGUGAGAUGUCGGGUUAAGUCCUUUAACGAGCGCAACCUCAUUGCAUGUUAAUUUUCAUGCGAGACUGCCCUGGUUAACAGGGAGGAAGGUGGGGAUGACGUCAAGUCAGCAUGGCCCUUACACCUUGGGCUACACACGUGUUACAAUGGCCGGUACAAUAAGUCGCAAUACCGUAAGGUGGAGCUAAUCUAUGAAAACCGGUCCCAGUUCGGAUUGGGGGCUGAAACUCGCCCCCAUGAAGUCGGAAUCGCUAGUAACCGUGAAUCAGCACGUCACGGUGAAUACGUUCCCGGGUCUU